GAUGAACGCUGGCGGCGUGCUUAACACAUGCAAGUCGAACGGAAAGGCCCAAGCUUGCUUGGGUACUCGAGUGGCGAACGGGUGAGUAACACGUGGGUGAUCUGCCCUGCACUUCGGGAUAAGCCUGGGAAACUGGGUCUAAUACCGGAUAGGACGAUGGUUUGGAUGCCAUUGUGGAAAGUUUUUUCGGUGUGGGAUGAGCUCGCGGCCUAUCAGCUUGUUGGUGGGGUAAUGGCCUACCAAGGCGUCGACGGGUAGCCGGCCUGAGAGGGUGUACGGCCACAUUGGGACUGAGAGACGGCACAGACUCCUACGGGAGGCAGCAGGGGGGAAUAUUGCACAAUGGGCGCAAGCCUGAUGCAGCGACGCCGCGUGGGGGAUGACGGCCUUCGGGUUGUAAACUCCUUUCGCUAGGGACGAAGCGUUUUUGUGACGGUACCUGGAGAAGAAGCACCGGCUAACUACGUG
Molecule: ribosomal RNA, 468 nt
Filed under: uncultured bacterium
Lineage: Bacteria
Description: partial 16S ribosomal RNA
Rfam family: Bacterial small subunit ribosomal RNA
Source: RNAcentral